AGGGGGUCCCGUUGAACUGC
RNAcentral lists this non-coding RNA (20 nucleotides) under Arabidopsis thaliana (thale cress). The record is from RNAcentral. Lineage: Eukaryota; Viridiplantae; Streptophyta; Magnoliopsida; Brassicales; Brassicaceae.